This 47-nucleotide transfer RNA is filed under the name Actinomyces oris. RNAcentral's name for it is "tRNA-Ser". It matches the Rfam family "tRNA", at positions 29 to 71 of the family's 71-position model. From Rfam's summary of the family: Transfer RNA (tRNA) molecules are approximately 80 nucleotides in length. Their secondary structure includes four short double-helical elements and three loops (D, anti-codon, and T loops). The record is from RNAcentral. Lineage: Bacteria; Bacillati; Actinomycetota; Actinomycetes; Actinomycetales; Actinomycetaceae.
GACUUUUAAUCCGAAGGUCGUGGGUUCGAGCCCCACAGGGGGUACCA